Molecule: long non-coding RNA, 721 nt
Organism: Microtus ochrogaster (prairie vole)
Lineage: Eukaryota; Metazoa; Chordata; Mammalia; Rodentia; Cricetidae
Exons: 3
Source: RefSeq, a predicted model, not a curated record
CCGUGUAAACACAAGCACCUGGAGCCACAGAUGAUCAUCUGGGAAGAAACACUAGGAGUCUGAGUGUAAGCACCAGGCUGUGAAGACACGAUCCUGAGUGAAGAGGCAAAGUCUUUACAGGGAGGAAGCAGAUCCAUGGGAACCAAAAGAGGCUGCAAAUCCUGGAACCAGGGAACUUUCUAGAACUCUGAAGCAGCAGCUAAAACAUCAGCAGUGACGGAAAAUGUUCUCUUCAGUCUUCAUGGCUGUCUUCUUGGUGGCCAGACUGACUUUACCGUGGAGACCUGGCUUUGUACCUCCCGCGGGUUAACUGGAUUUCACUGGGCUGAUGGAGUUGUGCAGAAUGUUUGGAAAGUCUGCCCCUUCAUCUUCUCCUCCAGCUUCUCAGAUUGUCCCUAGUUCCCUUGUCUUCAGGUGUUUGGAGCUCAGUGUAACUAGUCCAGGCUGGCCCAGAACUCAUCAUGUAGACCAGGCUGGUUUCAAGGUUGUGGCGAUUCUUCUGGCUUUGCCAACCAGAUCCUGGGACUGCAGGAAUUCGAGACUAUGGCUGGCUCCUCCCUCUUUUCAUUUCUAUUGUAUGGGGGGAAGUUAUAGGGGGGCUAACCUCUGCCAUCACCUCCUAUUUCCAUUACUCAUUUCCUGUGAGUUUUAAGCUUUCCCAAAUAAAACACUAGGUAGCCUUGGGUGGCCUGGAACUCACUAUAGACCAGACUACCCUCAA